Molecule: ribosomal RNA, 389 nt
Filed under: uncultured Flavobacterium sp.
Lineage: Bacteria; Pseudomonadati; Bacteroidota; Flavobacteriia; Flavobacteriales; Flavobacteriaceae
Description: bacterial SSU rRNA
Rfam family: Bacterial small subunit ribosomal RNA
Source: RNAcentral
UCGAGAGUUUGAUCCUGGCUCAGGAUGAACGCUAGCGGCAGGCUUAACACAUGCAAGUCGAGGGGUAUAGUUCUUCGGAACUAGAGACCGGCGCACGGGUGCGUAACGCGUAUGCAAUCUACCUUUUACAGAGGGAUAGCCCAGAGAAAUUUGGAUUAAUACCUCAUAGUAUGUGAGAAUCGCAUGAUUUGAUUAUUAAAGUUCCAACGGUAAAAGAUGAGUAUGCGUCCCAUUAGCUAGAUGGUAAGGUAACGGCUUACCAUGGCAACGAUGGGUAGGGGUCCUGAGAGGGAGAUCCCCCACACUGGUACUGAGACACGGACCAGACUCGUACGGGAGCAGCAGUGAGGAAUAUUGGACAAUGGGGCGCAAGCCUGAUCCCAGCCCAU